This 114-nucleotide ribosomal RNA is filed under the name uncultured eukaryote. RNAcentral's name for it is "partial small subunit ribosomal RNA". It matches the Rfam family "Bacterial small subunit ribosomal RNA", at positions 1412 to 1525 of the family's 1533-position model. The record is from RNAcentral.
GAGGGAUAUCCGAAGUCGCCGCGCCAACCGCGAGGGGGCAAGCGCCGACGAUAGACUUCCUGAUUGGGACUAAGUCGUAACAAGGUAACCGUAGGUGAACCUGCAGAAGGAUCA